Long non-coding RNA from Cydia splendana, 391 nucleotides. RefSeq lists it as uncharacterized. The record is from RefSeq and is a predicted model, not a curated record. The transcript is spliced from 3 exons. NCBI's taxonomy places the organism in Eukaryota, Metazoa, Arthropoda, Insecta, Lepidoptera, Tortricidae.
CGUACUUAAAACUGCAGAACUUCCGUAAAAUAAUGGAAAAUUCGUGGUCUACAUCGAUUGAAAAGUUGAUGGUAUGGCGGGCAGGUAGUUGGAAUAAAUACGAUUCUAAAAUUACGAAGUGGACACUGAGAAUGGUCUACGAUGUUCUUAUAAUUGCAUCAAAUACAAAAGUAUAUGAAACACUAAGCCUAUACAAUAAAAUUAAAGGGUUUUAUAAAGGCGACGUCUUGAUACUAAUUGUAAGCAAUCCAGCUCAAGAGGUAAAACCGGCACUCUCGACUUACCUACAGAUUUCAAUAGCUUCGUAAAGCUAUGUCUCUUGGACCCAAAAAUGCCUUUAAUAAUUAAUGAAACGCAGAAAAUUAUAGAAGAAUUAAAGAAAAUUUAAAAG